UACGGAGGGUGCAAGCGUUGUUCGGAAUCAUUGGGCGUAAAGCGCGUGUAGGUGGCUUGGCAAGUCGGUUGUGAAAUCCCGGGGCCCAACCCCGGAACUGCAUUCGAAACUGCCUCGCUAGAGUCCCGGAGAGGAAGGCGGAAUUCCCGGUGUAGAGGUGAAAUUCGUAGAUAUCGGGAGGAACACCAGUGGCGAAGGCGGCCACCUGGACGAACACUGACGCUGAGACGCGAAAGCGUGGGGAGCAAACAGG
RNAcentral lists this ribosomal RNA (253 nucleotides) under uncultured bacterium. Its description in RNAcentral is "partial 16S ribosomal RNA". It matches the Rfam family "Bacterial small subunit ribosomal RNA", at positions 524 to 776 of the family's 1533-position model. The record is from RNAcentral.